This is a long non-coding RNA of Penaeus monodon (black tiger shrimp), 427 nucleotides long. RefSeq lists it as uncharacterized. NCBI's taxonomy places the organism in Eukaryota, Metazoa, Arthropoda, Malacostraca, Decapoda, Penaeidae. The transcript has 2 exons. The record is from RefSeq and is a predicted model, not a curated record.
CUUCGUAGUGGGUGUAUCUUUCGCUGCUUCGUCUUUAGUUUAUCCAGUGGCUUACCGUGGCAAAGGAGUUUUGUUCAUCCAUUUGGUUAUCUGUAGGCUCAGUGAGUGUCAGAAUACACCGUGGUAUAACCAGUUUUAUGCAUUAAAUAGAAAUUAAAGUGAACGAGUUCCAUAGUGUAAUAGGGUUGGUAAAGAAGGCAGUGAGUGGCAUAAGGAAACCCAAUUUAUUUUGACAACUGAACACGCCCGUCGUCUGCUUCGUCUGUCUAAUGUAAGUGUGCAUACGAACGUGCAGUCUGAUAUGGGGGAGGCAAUGUGUAUGUAUAUUUUAUUUAUGUUUAGUUUCGUGGUCGCGGGCCGGCUGCUGGUUGCAAAUGCAGGCUUGGGUAUUGAAUGAAGAUGAAAGGUAAAGCUGGAAAAAAAAAAA